Molecule: ribosomal RNA, 236 nt
Filed under: uncultured bacterium
Lineage: Bacteria
Description: partial 16S ribosomal RNA
Rfam family: Bacterial small subunit ribosomal RNA
Source: RNAcentral
CGGGACGGGUGAGUAACGCGUGGAUAACCUGCCUCACACUGGGGAGUAACAGUUAGAAAUGACUGCUAAUACCGCAUAAGCGCACAGUACCGCAUGGUACAGUGUGAAAAACUCCGGUGGUGUGAGAUGGAUCCGCGUCUGAUUAGCCAGUUGGCGGGGUAACGGCCCACCAAAGCGACGAUGGAUAGGGGUUCUGAGAGGAAGGUCCCCCACAUUGGAACUGAGACACGGUCCAA